This 233-nucleotide long non-coding RNA is filed under the name Elaeis guineensis (African oil palm). RNAcentral's name for it is "long non-coding RNA (EGUI_LNC078120)". The record is from RNAcentral. Lineage: Eukaryota; Viridiplantae; Streptophyta; Magnoliopsida; Arecales; Arecaceae.
AGAGUAUACUAUGCAGAGAGAAUAAUACGAAUGCUAGUGAUCGACAUAAGAAAAAAUUUGCAAAAUGAUUUGAUAACCUUGUAAGUUGCACUAGUAAUAUGUUAUUUUUAAUAAUUAUAGAAAUAAUUAUUUGAACCAACAUAAUUUUUUAUGUUAUGGUGUAGAUAAAAUAUAAGUAUUUCAAUAAAAAAGAGGAUGCGAUCGAUGAGUUGUAUGAUUUAGCAUAUGGCCCC